CACGUAGGGUCCGAGCGUUGUCCGGAUUUAUUGGGCGUAAAGGGCCCGUAGGCGGCUUGGUAAGUCGGGUGUGAAAACCCCAGGCUCAACCUGGGGACGCCACCCGAUACUGCCAUGGCUUGAGUCUGGUAGGGGAGUGCGGAACUCCUGGUGUAGCGGUGAAAUGCAUAGAUAUCAGGAAGAACACCGGUGGCGAAGGCGGCACUCUGGGCCAGUACUGACGCUGAUGGGCGAAAGCGUGGGGAGCAAACAGG
RNAcentral lists this ribosomal RNA (254 nucleotides) under uncultured bacterium. RNAcentral describes it as "partial 16S ribosomal RNA". It matches the Rfam family "Bacterial small subunit ribosomal RNA", at positions 524 to 776 of the family's 1533-position model. The record is from RNAcentral.